Long non-coding RNA from Patella vulgata (common limpet), 1750 nucleotides. RefSeq lists it as uncharacterized. Lineage: Eukaryota; Metazoa; Mollusca; Gastropoda; Patellidae. The record is from RefSeq and is a predicted model, not a curated record. The transcript has 10 exons.
AUACAAAGUCUUAAUCCGGGGGUCCACAAGUAAGAGAAAGGUAUUUUUUACUCAGACAAUAUAGCCAGACAGACUUGAAUGCUAAUUGGUGUUAAGAUGUCUGUAGUUAAAAUAAAGUUGGGCCCAAUAAACUGGUAGAUCAAAGGCCUGUUGAGCGCUCAUGCCCGGUGUGAUUUUAAAAUUGACUCCAAAUGCGUUGACAAGAAAAUAAGUAAAACUGUUAUUGAAUGUGAUUGGUUGAUAAAAUCAACGUACUAUAGGCUACAUUUUGUCUGCGAUAUCAUCUCGGUGGAAGCGGACAUUAAAUGAAGUGAUUUCACACAAUUAAUUUAACAUUUAACAACGUGCUGAAAUGAUUUUGGAGCAGUGAUAUGUUUGACAAAUGUAAGCUAAUGGUCACAUAGAAUACAAGACCGCAGAAUCACAUUAUGAUUAAAGCAGAAACGGCUCGACUUGAACCAGCAGACGGAAGAUAUGGACGAACAACAAGAAGAAGUUAUGGAGGUCCCAACAACUGAACCUAUGGAAGUAGAAGAAUCGUUUACAGCCGAAACCCGAUACGAUGUGCCAGUUCCAGUCAUGGAGUCCUCCAUCUCAGACGAUGCCGACGUUAGUGUCUUCUGCGACGAAGAACCCGUAGUGGUGUAUACGCAGGUAGAAGCUGGUACCUCCCGUGGCAAGUCCAAGUUGUUUGACAACCAAGGGUUUAGUUAUACAAUUAAGACAGAGAAGAAAACUACGAUUUGGAGGUGUUCCAAAAGAAGCGGACCAACACGAUGUCCGGCAACAGUAAUCCAAGAUGGUGAUACAUACCAACCAGGCUUAAAGAACCAUCUUCACCCAGCAGAACCCGGUAUACAGACGGCUACCAAGAUAAAAGUUACAGCAAAGCAUGAAGCCAAAGGAAAUGUUUUUACCAAGUCAUGUUCCUCAAUAGCGGAGAGAGUUUUAUCCAGUGUCGGUUCUGCAGAAGAACCCAUUCAUAGCAGACCACCCAUGGCAGCACUUGUAAGGUCGCUACAAAGAACCCGACAGACUCUGCGACCAAAAGAUCCCACUGACGUGUCGUCAAGCCUUGACGAAGAUUUCAUCGAUCAUAGUGCACCGGGAUUUUAUCAAAAAAGAGUAAAAGUUGGGGAAAGGCGCCAUCACAUUUUUUGUACUGAUAGACAGAUGCAACUACUCGCAGGCGCAAAAACUAUGAUAUAUGGAUGCAACUUUUCGGGUGGUGAACAAGCCAUGGUCUCAGCUGUUUUCCAUCCACGCCUUCAUUAAGACUGGAGAGACCACCCGACAGUUACCAUUGGUGUUUUGUGUAAUGUCGGGUAAAAGCCAAGACGACUAUUAUAAGGUCAUUUUCAAAUAAAUUCAUCAGCAUAUUAUUCGUUUUAAAUAAAUAUAAAACUUUUAUGAGAAACGAUGAUUAUCAAAGAACCUCAGUGAUGAUAUGUGACUCUUUCCACCUUCCAGCAAUAAUUAUUGAGAAUUUACCAAGGACUCCAUUGGCAUUGAAUCGAAGAAAAACAGUUUCAAUAUUGGAUGUAUAUGCAAAUCACCCAGAAAAAGAUCAUGUAAUAACAAAAGAAAUUAUAAAAGAAAAAAAUGGAAGAAGAAAUGGCUGGAAAAAAUGAUGAUAGAGCAGCUUUUUCUUGUUACCCACCUCGGAAGAUCAAGUUGGAAAGGGCUAUUGAUAUUGUGGAGACGUUUUCUCACAGAUCUUGCUUAUCAGACAAAGACUAGGUAAGUACCA